UUUAUGAAAAUUGUGCAUUUUGCUCGUUUCGUUUGUAUUAUUUGGUCACGCAAAAAGAAAAGAAGGGAUAGCUUUAACAUACCUGAGCCGAUUCUCUUGAUAAAGAUUACACUGUUACUCCCUAAAAUUUGCAAAAAUCUCACGCUAUAUUCAAUUUUCCAACUCCGAACGGCUCAAAUCUAGCCAAAAUAAUUUCAUACUAUAAAUAUAACUAUAGGAACUAAUUUAAAUAAUAAAAUUAUGAUCUUAGCAAAGAAUUAAAAAAUCGACCAAAAAGUCAACUCGGGCCCGUGCCUCGGAACUCGACCAAAAUUAUAAAAACUGAACAUCCAUUCGAUAUUGAGUCCAAACAUACAAGAAUUAUUCAAAUUCGAUCUCAUUUUGCCUUUCAAAACCCAAAAACCCAGUCUAAAAACUUUUACACCUUUUUUCCAAUUUCCCCCACUCAAAUCCUUAAUUACAUGGUAAUAAUAAUGAUAGAUUAGUAUAAUUUAAUCAAAAUUGAGUCAAUAAUGCUUACCCCAACAAUUCCUAUGAAAAUCCCUCGAAAUUUCGCCUUAAACCGAGCUCCCAAAGUCUCAAAAUGAAUUAUGAAAGCAAACCCUCGAAUUCCUCUUUUCUGCCCAGCGACUUCCGCUUCUGCGGUCUAUGGGUCGCUUCUGCGACGCCGCACAUGCGGAAAAAACAUCGCAUGUGCGGAAAACACUUAAUUCCCAAAAAUUCGCUUCUGCUGACCAUUGCCCGCACGUGCGAUCCCGCUCCUGCGAAGGACGACCAACCGCCCCUCUUCCGCAUUUGCGACCACAUCUCCGCACCUGCGGACAAAAGUGCUGGUAUGCCCCAUAGUUGCUUUGGUUAUAGAUCAUAAAUUAUACAGAAGUCUUCCAGGUAUAGUGAACAGAGCAAAGGUAAAGAAUCCUACUACAUUUGCUAAGUGAAUAUAUGGUCAUGAUUGAGAAUUAAGUGAACGGCAGAACAAUUUAGAAUAGGAUCAAAAGGUGGGUUUUCGAAUAUGAAACCAUUCAGCUCCAAUUACAGUAUCCCCUCUAUGUCAAAUACUUCAUAAUGAGUUUAUGCGUCAUCUAAUGUGCAAGAGUAUCAAAUAAUUAGUUUACUACGAACUAGAUCUAGAGUUGUCCAUAAACUUGAGACUAUUUCUUGAAUCAAAGAACAAAGAAGUAGCUUUCUUUAUUCUACAAGUGAACCAAGACUUUAGUGAAGAUGAGGAAAAGAAGAAUACACAUUAGCUAGGCA
RNAcentral lists this long non-coding RNA (1254 nucleotides) under Nicotiana tabacum (common tobacco). RNAcentral describes it as "long non-coding RNA (NTAB_LNC017217)". Lineage: Eukaryota; Viridiplantae; Streptophyta; Magnoliopsida; Solanales; Solanaceae. The record is from RNAcentral.